Molecule: transfer RNA, 73 nt
Filed under: Candidatus Altarchaeum sp.
Lineage: Archaea; Nanobdellati; Candidatus Altarchaeota; Candidatus Altarchaeia; Candidatus Altarchaeales; Candidatus Altarchaeaceae
Also listed under: 1 other name
Description: tRNA-Glu
Rfam family: tRNA
About the family: Transfer RNA (tRNA) molecules are approximately 80 nucleotides in length. Their secondary structure includes four short double-helical elements and three loops (D, anti-codon, and T loops).
Source: RNAcentral
GCUCCUGUAGUCUAGCCAGGUAGGAUAUCGGACUUUCGAUCCGGCGACUCGGGUUCAAAUCCCGGCAGGAGCA